GACGAACGCUGGCGGCGUGCUUAACACAUGCAAGUCGAACGGAAAGGCCCUGCUUUUGUGGGGUGCUCGAGUGGCGAACGGGUGAGUAACACGUGAGUAACCUGCCCUUGACUUUGGGAUAACUUCAGGAAACUGGGGCUAAUACCGGAUAGGAGCUCCUGCUGCAUGGUGGGGGUUGGAAAGUUUCGGCGGUUGGGGAUGGACUCGCGGCUUAUCAGCUUGUUGGUGGGGUAGUGGCUUACCAAGGCUUUGACGGUUAGCAGGCCUGAGAGGAUGACCGGCCACAUUGGGACUGAGAUACGGCCCAAUCUCCUACGGGAGGCAGCAGUGUGGAAUACUGCACGAUGAGCGGAAGGCUGAUGCAGCAACACCGCGUGCGGGAUGACGGCCUUCGGGGUGUAAGCCGCUUUCGCCUGUGACGGAGCGUGAGUGACGGUAAUGGGUAAAGAAGCACCGGCUAACUACGUG
Molecule: ribosomal RNA, 468 nt
Filed under: uncultured bacterium
Lineage: Bacteria
Description: partial 16S ribosomal RNA
Rfam family: Bacterial small subunit ribosomal RNA
Source: RNAcentral